This 250-nucleotide ribosomal RNA is filed under the name uncultured bacterium. RNAcentral's name for it is "partial 16S ribosomal RNA". It matches the Rfam family "Bacterial small subunit ribosomal RNA", at positions 87 to 339 of the family's 1533-position model. The record is from RNAcentral.
UGAGUAGAGCGGCGGACGGGUGAGUAACGCGUAGGAAUCUACCUAGUAGAAGGGGAUAGCCCGAGGAAACUCGGAUUAAUACCGUAUACCUCCUUCGGGAGAAAGAAGGCCUCUCUUUGAAGCUUUCGCUACUAGAUGAGCCUGCGUAAGAUUAGCUAGUUGGUGGGGUAACGGCUCACCAAGGCAACGAUCGGUAGCCGGCCUGAGAGGGCGGACGGCCACACUGGGACUGAGACACGGCCCAGACUCC